This 501-nucleotide ribosomal RNA is filed under the name Triticum aestivum (bread wheat). Its description in RNAcentral is "partial small subunit ribosomal RNA". The record is from RNAcentral. Lineage: Eukaryota; Viridiplantae; Streptophyta; Magnoliopsida; Poales; Poaceae.
UGUUCUUCCUGUCGCGAGGAAGCCAUUGUAGGCGGUGAAACAAUAAGGGAUCUAAUAGAGGUGGGAAGAAUUUCGGAGAACAUGGCGGCUAUGGGUGGGGACGAAAGGCAGAGGAUGGAGGCUCCGGCAGGGGACAAGUUCCCCGAGGGGCUGCGCGUGCUCGCUGUGGACGACGACUCCGUCUGCCUCAAGGUACUGGAGGACGUUCUGCGCCGCUGCAAAUACAACCCAACGACCGUGACAGACGCGAAGACGGCGUUGAAGAUGCUGAGGGCGGGGAAGGCAGAGUUCGACCUGGUGAUCACCGACGUGCACAUGCCAGGCAUGGACGGCUUCAAGCUCCUUGAGCUCAUCCACCUUGAGAUGGAUCUGCCCGUCAUCAUGCUAUCUGUGGAUUGCAACAAGAAGGCUGUGAUGAAGGGCAUAACACAUGGGGCGUGCGACUAUUUGGUGAAACCAGUGUGCACCAACGAGCUAAAAAAAUAUAUGGCAACAUGUUGA